GACGAACGCUGGCGGCGUGCUUAACACAUGCAAGUGGAGCGACGAACCGGGGCUUGCCCCGGGGCAGAGCCGCGAACGGGUGAGUAACACGUGGGUAACCCACCCCGAUGACCGGGACAACCCGAGGAAACUCGGGCUAAUACCGGAUGUGCUCCUUGACCUCGAGGUCAAGGCGUAAAGAUAGCUUCGGCCUUCGCAUCGGGACGGGCCCGCGGCCCAUUAGCUUGUUGGUGGGGUAAAGGCCUACCAAGGCGACGANGGGUAGCUGGUCUGAGAGGACGAUCAGCCACACUGGGACUGAGACACGGCCAGACUCCUACGGGAGGCAGCAGGUGGGAAUCUUGCGCAAUGCGCGAAAG
RNAcentral lists this ribosomal RNA (359 nucleotides) under uncultured bacterium. Its description in RNAcentral is "bacterial SSU rRNA". It matches the Rfam family "Bacterial small subunit ribosomal RNA", at positions 28 to 381 of the family's 1533-position model. The record is from RNAcentral.